This 253-nucleotide ribosomal RNA is filed under the name uncultured bacterium. RNAcentral's name for it is "partial 16S ribosomal RNA". It matches the Rfam family "Bacterial small subunit ribosomal RNA", at positions 524 to 776 of the family's 1533-position model. The record is from RNAcentral.
UACGGGGGGGGCAAGCGUUGUUCGGAAUUACUGGGCGUAAAGGGCUCGUAGGUGGCCAACUAAGUCAGACGUGAAAUCCCUCGGCUUAACCGGGGAACUGCGUCUGAUACUGGAUGGCUUGAGGUUGGGAGAGGGAUGCGGAAUUCCAGGUGUAGCGGUGAAAUGCGUAGAUAUCUGGGGGAACACCGGUGGCGAAGGCGGCAUCCUGGACCAAUUCUGACGCUGAGGAGCGAAAGCCAGGGGAGCAAACGGG